This 282-nucleotide long non-coding RNA is filed under the name Lathyrus oleraceus (garden pea). RNAcentral's name for it is "Pisum sativum (pea) long non-coding RNA (PSAT_LNC011824)". Lineage: Eukaryota; Viridiplantae; Streptophyta; Magnoliopsida; Fabales; Fabaceae. The record is from RNAcentral.
AACCUGCUUAUGCAUAUGAUGCAUGCAAUGCUUGUGCAUAUGAUUUGUUUUAUUUCAAAGGAACUCUAGGGUUUUAUUUGUAAAUUUUUGGAAAUAUUAAGCAUUUUAUUGCAUAUGGAAAUAUCUCAUCAAAUAUAUCAGGGAAAAGAAGUACAGCAUUGUCAAUCGUAUACAAGAGAAAAGGAAAAUAAUCAUCCUAUGGAUCCCUAGAAACAACAUCUGAAGCUCGGGACACAAGAAGAAAAGAUGCACGAAGCCUCUUCACCUCUCUCUCAUAAGCUG